GGCAAUUCCACAUGUAUCAUUACAUCCAUUCUUGAAUACCAAGUGCAAGGAAGAGAACAGAAACUUGAUGUAACUUGUAUUCAUUUAAUUAAAACAAUUAACAUUUACUAAAAAAUUCCAGUAAUUACAAGUAACUAGUAUUGUAAGAAAUAGAGUCAAGAAAUGAUGAGGCUGUACAGGAGGGGCAAAAUCUCACCUUAAGGAACCCCCUUCACCUAAAAAAAGCUGAAACCUGAUCCAUCAUGUUCCUAUCCUGUGAAUUUCUGUGGCACCUAGUUUCAAUCUCAAAAAAUCUUAAUGUUCAAUUGUGUGCUCAAUAUCUAACUUGCCAAGGAUUUAACAAAUCCAAUGCAUCAUCCAUUCAGAUUGAGGCCUUCCCUAUAUUUUGGGCAAAAGGUGAUUCUACCAAAUUGACUCUUAUCUUUCAGAAAAUAUCAACCAAGUUCAAUGCCUUUUUCUCUUGCAGCUUCUACGAUGGAAUUAGCAUCUCCUCUAAUCUUGGAUAAGUUAUAAUAGCAAUUCCACAGCUUAAUGGAAAAUGGAUAAGCGGAUAAAGCUCUCCUGUAAAAUCUCUCAGAAAUUAACUCAGUACCCUCAAUUCCUUCCAAAAUACCUGCAGCAUUAACCCAUACAUACUCUGGUGCUAUUGGGAUAGCAUGAAAGAUUGCACUGACCAAGGUUGAGCUUGCCCAAUACAACAUACUGCCAGAAGAUACUUCACUAAAAUGCUCACCUCUGCUCAACAGCUUACAAGCAGAAAAUGCUAAUUGAUAGUUAGAUGGCACAAUCUCCAAGAUGGCUUCCACAAAAUCAACCAGUUCCUGUGGCUGGCUAAAUUUUUGGGGUACAAGAGAGGGCCCAUGCCAAACUUCAAGAACUAUGUUAACUAAAGAAAAAUCACAUGAAACUGGACUCAACAAGUUACUAAUUAGCUGCCGAACUCUUGGCUUCUCAAUUUUAUUUAUGAAUCGUCUUGAUAACGGCUCAGACACAGGAAGAGCCCGGGCAUCAUCCAAAUAACCAUUCAAUACAUUCAGUUGCUCACUAAUAAAAGCAUCCUCCUUUAGCUGUAACUCAUAGUUAAGCAAGAAGUUGGCAUGUUCUCUCAAGCAAUGCUUGAAGAUUGGUGGAGCUGCAGCCUUGAAUGCUUUAUCAAUGGCAUUGCGGGCCUCAAUAUGAUCAUUAUGCAACAAUUUAGCAAGAGAGUAAUUAAGAUAUCCAAAUGUCAUAUCCAUCCAGUUAGAAUUGGAUGUCAAAAACUCUGGAUUGGAUGCUGAGGCUAAUCUUGAUAACUGAUCUGAGCUAUUUGUAUGUGUAACAUCCAGCUUUUCUUGUUGAUGAUAUUGAACUUCUGAAGAGGAGUUGAAGCGACGGACAAUAAGCUCUUUCACAAAUCCAACAUCUCCCUUUCGGAGGGCACAUUCAAUAUAUUGAUUCCAGAUGCAAUGAAUUCCAGGCGUUUCCUUUGGCCAGCUCCUAAUGGCUUCCUCAAAACCCUCAAAAUUCUCGAAGUCAUUCAUCUGUAACCUUGCUGAUAUAAGAACUAAUUCUAAGCAGAAUGGGUACAACUUCGUAUAUUCAUCCAACAAACUCCCACAGCAUUCUAAGCCACCAAGUGCCACCAUACAUCUAAUAUGGCAGAGACCAAAAUGUUGCGCUGAUGUAAGAUCAGCCUCGCUUGCAAGUGAUCCAGUAUCAACAGAUAAUUUAACAGAAUCCACUGCCAUUUCUACCAGUUUAAUGGCCCUCAGCUUCUCCUCAUCCAGCAAGUGAGUACAAGGCCAUUCAAUUGCAAGGAGUUCUUUGUCACAUUCAAAUUUUUGUACAACAGCCUCAGGCAAUGUCCUGUAAAUAACUAAGUACACACAACAAACCCAGAACAUAUAUUUGUCAGAAAUUUUUAAGCAUGCAAGGAUAUCAGAAAGCAACAAAGAAUGAGGUUGCUGAUCUGAAUUAGAAGCCACAGUAAAGAAUCCACAGAUUUUCUGAAUUGCCUUCUCAACAUUCCCAGACAUGCACAAACAAUUCAUCAUCUGCAAAAAAAUGUCUAAGAUGCAUGCGCUAGCAUACAUUUCAUCGCUUUCACGAGCAGAUGCGUGGUGGCAGAGUGCUGUGAGGGCAGCAUCAUAUGCAGAUAACCGAUCAACAAGAUGCAUACGACUGUUGAUAUACAUAAGCCAAAGUCCGUAGGACCUGUCAUUGUGUUUGACCUGAAGAACAAGAAGGAAAGCGUUUCCAUACAAAAAUUUGCAUUUCAAUUACAUUAAGAGAGGAAAAAGAAUAGAUUCAGAAAUGGACAAGAUAACUGCAUAGUGCGCUAUUGCUAAAACAAUGAACACACACAUGCAAAAAUAGAAGCCAUCCUCACAUACAACAAACAACCUCCAGCACCUGCACAUUAUCUGCUUUUUUAAUGAAAACCAAAGGGUAUGCAUAUAUCUAUAUAAAGCAAAAAGGGGAAUAUUGUUGCCUUCUAAAAAAAAAAAUUAAAGAACAUCAUCCACCUAGAUUUUCUAAUCACAAUUGACAAAAGAUAAAAUCUCAAAAAGGAGAAUAUCAGCCAAAACAAUCUUAUUGAACAGUGCAAAAUAUUACCAAAGGUCCAUCAUCCAUGUCAAUCAAAAAAUUAGAAGACUACAAUUAUAAGACUGACAUAGAAUAAGCCCUAGUGCCCUACAAGUCUACCUAGACAAUUUAUCAUCUCCAAUUAAAUUACAAAUGUAGUGAAACACAGAUAUAUCACUCUUUUGUAGCUCAUUUAUAAUAAUAAAUCAACAGAGACCUGUAACCAAUCUCUGAACAUAGACUAUUAUGGAAAAUCAGGACGUUAACUCCCUUAUUCUCAAUAACAUACCGCAUAGGAGAACAUGUCCUCCUUCGCAAUGGAUUUGAUGUUGCCGUAAUAAAUAAGCAGGUAAGUUAUCCACAGAAUUUCAGAUUUUGGAUCAGCCUCAAUAGCUCGUGAUAGUAUAGAAAGAGCCUGCAACAAUGAGGAAUUGGGACAACCGUAGCUGAUCAAUCAUGAUGUAGCAGGUUAAAUUAAAAUGCAAGGCACAAAGCUUACCUUUUUCAUACCCUCUAGUUUAUUAACCUCCUGAUUGAGAAUAAGGAGGGCCUUCUCAAGGGAUUGCACAUCAUCGGGUAGCAUUUGGUUCAGAUGGUUCUAAAUGUACAUUUAGCAAAAAGGAAACUUAAAUGAGAUGGUCAAUUAAACAACAAAAGAAGUCAAUCAUGUAUCAGGGGGAAAAAACCACCAUUUAUACAAAAGGACCUCUUUAAGAGGCACAAGUGAGCAAGCACAAUCUAUGUUGAGGUAAAGCAUAAAUGUGUCAAAGCAAUAGAUUUAAACUUGAUUUCUCUUGAGUUUCUUAUUGUCACAUCAGAAAGAUCUAAGUCUUUAGAAGAAGCACAUUUUAAGAUAUAGCUACAACGAAUCAAAUACAUGUGGCAUAAUAUCCCAAUUGGAUUUCACACAAAAAAUAAAAAAUGAACAAGUCUGCUUAAGAAUAUUAGACUAAUAUACAAACAAAGUGGAUGGUAAAAACAACUUUCACACUAUAAGCCACUCAAGUUCAAAAUGCACUCUUAGAAACAAGUAAAGCAGAUGCGAGAGGGUGGUAAGAUCUCUGGAAUCAAGUAGUUAGUCAAGUAUUUUCAAAACUCAAUCCCAAACAACAUAGAGAGGAUGAACAACACUUCUUCAGAAAAUUAAACACCAGCUAAGCUAUGUGACACAAGUUUCUUUAACAUUAGAAAAGCAAUAAGAAAAAAAAAUCCCCGUCUAAGUCAUGUAAAUAAGUUGAAGGUUAAGACUGGGAGUUGGCUACAAAGAACUACAAUUAUGACAAAAUAUCUUCUAAGAAUACAAUAACAGAUGACAAUCAAACAGCAAACAAUAGGCAAAUAAUGUAAAGAAAAUAGCAACAAACAAACCACUAUGCUGUUUCUACUCCGAAAGUAUAAUGAUGGCUUGUCCCAACUCCCAUUGACCUCAAUACGACCAUCAUUGCUAUGCAAAAAGGGCUCAUCAGCAGGCAAGUCUAUUUGAAAUAAAUUUGAUAAAGCUAAGCAGACACUGAAGCAUUUCUUCCAGCAUUGUCCAUGUCUCCGUGCAACAACAGACUCAUAUGAAUGCGGAUCAGCUUUCAAAACAUCUAAGCCAACUAGAUAAGUUGGUGGAGUCAAAAAACUACGACACUUGGCAAGUCCUGCGGCACCAUUACGUUUUCUUUUCUGUAAUGUCAAUCCAACCUGACAGUCAGCACUAUCAGAACCAUCAUGCUGAUGUUGGCCCGCGUUCUCAUUGGAGAAGUCCCUAACAUGCUGCCAAGGACAUUGAUCAUUAUUGCAUUUACCACGGAGGUCAUACAUGCAGAGUGGCCAAAAUGGAUCAACUGCAAGAUCACAGGUAAAAGAUCCAAUUCCAUUUUCAAAUAUAUUCCCAAAACUAUCCUCCACUGGUUUUGCUAUGAGAAUGCUUUGCUGGAUAUCCCCAGCAUUGAUGCAACCACCAGCCCCAUUGUAAACAUCAUAGGUGUCACCUUGUUGAUUUUUCCUACUUUGUAAAACUAAUGAAUUGAAUGGAGACUCAACUUUCAUAUGAUAAAAUGCACUCCUUAAAAUCAAAGUAGGUGAAAAUAAGACGGCUGCCAACUGAUGACCUCUGACAGAAUAUUCAUUACCCUUCUUUUUGUGCUUCUGGAUUUGAACAGUAGACCCAAAAACAUCUCUCUCACGCUGAUCAUUACCUCCAAGAUCAAAUUCUUGAUUUCUUUCUGCCUCUAAUAAUGGAACACUGCCAUUGCUUGUCUGAGUUCUUUCACUUCCAUUGUCAUUUUCAGCCCCCAGCUCAUCUGCAGACUCAGGGUUCGAUAAACCACUAUUCUUUGGGAAAAUUCUCCUUCCUAGCCGCGCAAAUAGUUCAGACCUUAAUGUUGCCUCAAGAAUUAAAGAAUCCUGAGAGCCACCAAUGGACAAAUUUUUGUUAGAAUGAUUAGUGUUCUUUUGCCUUCCCACGGAAUUUUGUUCUCUUUGCUCAGUGGAAGUGGGUUGCACAGUUGCUUGACCUAAUGGAGAUGUCUCCUCAUCUUCAUCUGCUGAAAUAUUAGGAUCAUUUGAUGGAGAGCUUACUGCAUUUGCAGCAUUUUCCCUGUUAAGAUGCAAUGGCUCUGAUGUACUUGCAUCUGGUUCACUGCAUGGUUCAGACCCCAUAUUUUGCCCAUUGACAUGCCUAUAGGACAUCUUCAAGGGGCCACCAUUGGCGCAUUGGAUGUUUGAAUCAUAACCUGGUUGGUUAUGACCAUCAUACUCAGGCCUCCUAGAAUGGCUUGAUGGUGGCAUUAGUUCUAGAUUUCUAGACGUGUUAUCCAUAUGGUUCAACCCAAUUCCAACAUGCUCAGGCUUCCUUGUGGACCAUAACAAACUGGAAUCAUUCAAAAUGAAAGAUCGAAAUUGAGCCGAGUAAAGUUCCCUUUUAUGAUAAAGUUCAGUACAUCUAGCAUUAGCCUCAACCAAAGCCCUUUGGGCUUUUCGAUAAGCUUUAAGAGCAUUUCUUUCUUCAAUUUCACAUAUGCGCCUAUGCUCUUGUGCUUCUUCCAGCUCCUUGUCCAGUGAUUCCUCCAUUUCAACCAAUGAAUGCAUAUCUAUGUUGCUAUGUUCCGAGACAUUUGGAGCACCUAAAUAAUUCCAAAGGCCUAUAUCGUUCAAAGAUGCCUGAGAAAUAUUGUUCAAUGAUGAUUGAACCGUCCUGUCAUUGGAUACACCUUCACGAUACUCACAACCAUUCAUUAGAUGCUGUUCACUAGUCGAUGUCCUUAAGAGAGAAAGUGGUGGCCAAUGUCCACCAAUAUUAACCGGAUGAUUCAACUCAAUACUGUUCUGUAAUGUAGCAAUAAUAUUAAUAGGGAGAAAAUACAGACAGUAGUAUGGAUAGAGUACGAUAUAUGAAACAAUUCUAACACCAAAAUUUGUUAAAUUAGAUAAAAAUCAAAAUUAAACAAUUUAUAGAAUAUGUAAUCAUAAUGGUGUGUGUGUCCAUGCAUAUAUCCACGUAUGUGUAUUAUGGAUGAGAAGAAUUCGGGUAUAACCCAAAAAACAAACCAAACUGAUUCAGUUCGUUUCAGUCAGUAUUUUUGUAAAAUUUCAGUCUUCAGUUCAGUUAUUAAGGUCAAAAUAACCUAACCAACCGAAUAUCACCAACCCAUAAUACGCUUCAUUUUUUUUUGUUUUAUCCCUAAAGGCCUAAAAAACUAAUCUUUUUGCAAAAUCCUCACUCCUCAGUUCCUCCCCUCCUUCCUCUUACGUUCCUGCAUUUUGUCAUUCUCCAGUCUGAAGCUCAGCUCUUAUCCUCCAUUCUUCACUGCUUCCUCAUAUCCUCAAUUCCAAACUGUGUUGCUUCCUCAAUUCCUCAAGUCCUCACUCCAAUCUCUACUGUCUCAAGUCACUACAUCAGAUCCUUGAUUAAUCUCACAUUUCCUUGCCUCCUCUCCUCCAUCUCGCUACUCUCAUCUUCUCUGUCUGGAAAGGAACAACUGACGACCUUCCUCUUUGUUGCUCUCCUAAGGUCAUCUCUCAAAUGUGACUCACAAGCCUCAAAGAUCCAAUUGAAUCCGCGUUUGUUUAUUGCUCGAAUUUAAUAAGCAAUCUGUAAAAUUAUUGUUAAUUUUUGUAUUAACUGAAGCCAUUUUGAAAUUACGGUUUAGGAUGAUAAGAUCUUCUUGUGUUUUGACCUUGCAAUUUGCAAUUCUUAGCCUCACAGUCAGCAAUUUUAAUGUGUUAUGUUACUGUGUUUUGAAAUUUUCCCAAUUCUUCAGUUUGGAAAGUCAUUCUUUCAGUUUGGGUCAAUGACUUUGUACUUGAGAAUCUACGAAAACUUUGCAUUCUAUAAAUUGUAACUUCGCAGAAUUGAUCGACUGAACAAUUUUUCAAUUUGGUUGAUUCAGUUUUCCC
This 6948-nucleotide unclassified non-coding RNA is filed under the name Hevea brasiliensis (rubber tree). Lineage: Eukaryota; Viridiplantae; Streptophyta; Magnoliopsida; Malpighiales; Euphorbiaceae. The record is from RNAcentral.